GACGAACGCUGGCGGCGUGCUUAACACAUGCAAGUCGAACGGAGCGAAUGAAAGCUUGCUUUUAUAAGCUUAGUGGCAAACGGGUGAGUAACACGUAGACAACCUGCCGACAGGAUGGGGACAACAUUCCGAAAGGAAUGCUAAUACCGAAUGAAGUGCAGGGGAGGCAUCUCCCCUGCAUGAAAGAUGGCCUCUUUUUAUGCUAUCACCUGUUGAUGGGUCUGCGUCUGAUUAGCUGGUAGGUGAGGUAACGGCUCACCUAGGCGACGAUCAGUAGCCGGUCUGAGAGGAUGAACGGCCACAUUGGGACUGAGACACGGCCCAGACUCCUACGGGAGGCAGCAGUGGGGAAUCUUCCGCAAUGGGCGCAAGCCUGACGGAGCAACGCCGCGUGAGUGAAGAAGGUCUUCGGAUCGUAAAGCUCUGUUGAUGGGGACGAGCGUGCCG
This 447-nucleotide ribosomal RNA is filed under the name Centipeda noxia. Its description in RNAcentral is "bacterial SSU rRNA". It matches the Rfam family "Bacterial small subunit ribosomal RNA", at positions 28 to 456 of the family's 1533-position model. The record is from RNAcentral. Lineage: Bacteria; Bacillati; Bacillota; Negativicutes; Selenomonadales; Selenomonadaceae.